Molecule: ribosomal RNA, 439 nt
Filed under: uncultured bacterium
Lineage: Bacteria
Description: partial 16S ribosomal RNA
Rfam family: Bacterial small subunit ribosomal RNA
Source: RNAcentral
CUACGGGCCGCAGCAGUGAGGAAUAUUGCACAAUGGGGGGAACCCUGAUGCAGCAACGCCGCGUGGAGGAUGACGCAUUUCGGUGUGUAAACUCCUUUUAUAUGUCAAGAAAAUGACGGUAGCAUAUGAAUAAGCACCGGCUAACUCCGUGCCAGCAGCCGCGGUAGUACGGAGGGUGCAAGCGUUACUCGGAAUCACUGGGCGUAAAGGACGCGUAGGCGGGUUGGAAAGUCAGGUGUGAAAUCCUACAGCUUAACUGUAGAACUGCACUUGAAACUUCUAAUCUAGAGUAUGGGAGGGGGAGAUGGAAUUAGUGGUGUAGGGGUAAAAUCCGUAGAUAUCACUAGGAAUACCUAAAGCGAAGGCGAUCUCCUGGAACAUUACUGACGCUAAGGCGUGAAAGCGUGGGGAGCAAACAGGAUUAGAUACCCUCGUAGUC